AGAGUUUGAUCCUGGCUCAGGAUGAACGUUGGCGGCGUGCCUAACACAUGCAAGUCGAACGGAGAUAGCAAUGAGUGGCGCACGGGUGUGUAACACGUAGCUUAUCUGCCUCAAAGAGAGGGAUAACGUCUCGAAAGAGACGCUAAUACCGCAUAAGCUCCCGACCUAUAGAGGGUUGAGAGAAAAGGAGCAAUCCGCUUUGAGAUGAGGCUGCGGCCCAUCAGCUAGUUGGGGUGGUAAAAGCACACCAAGGCACGACGGGUAGGGGACCUGAGAGGGUGACCCCCCACACUGGGACUGAGACACGGCCCAGACUCCUACGGGAGGCAGCAGUGAGGAAUAUUGCACAAUGGGCGAAAGCCUGAUGCAGCGACGCCGCGUGGGUGAAGAAGGUUUUCGGAUCGUAAACCCUUUUCUGUGUGACGAGAGAGACGUAGCACAGAAUAAGUCUCGGCUAACUACGUGCCAGCAGCCGCGGUAAAAC
This 484-nucleotide ribosomal RNA is filed under the name uncultured bacterium. RNAcentral describes it as "bacterial SSU rRNA". It matches the Rfam family "Bacterial small subunit ribosomal RNA", at positions 8 to 526 of the family's 1533-position model. The record is from RNAcentral.